Molecule: ribosomal RNA, 253 nt
Filed under: uncultured bacterium
Lineage: Bacteria
Description: partial 16S ribosomal RNA
Rfam family: Bacterial small subunit ribosomal RNA
Source: RNAcentral
UACAGAGGUCCCAAGCGUUGUUCGGAUUCACUGGGCGUAAAGGGCGCGUAGGCGGCUAGAUGUGUCAAAGGUGAAAUCCCUCGGCUCAACUGAGGAACUGCCUUUGAAACUGUCUGGCUUGAGGCCGGGAGAGGGUAGCGGAAUUCCCAGUGUAGCGGUGAAAUGCGUAGAUAUUGGGAGGAACACCAGUGGCGAAGGCGGCUACCUGGACCGGUUCUGACGCUGAGGCGCGAAAGCGUGGGUAGCAAACAGG